UACGUAGGUGGCAAGCGUUGUCCGGAUUUACUGGGCGUAAAGAGCGCGCAGGCGGUCGGAUCAGUCGAAUGUGAAAGCCCCCGGCUCAACUGGGGAGGGUCAUUCGAUACUGUCCGACUCGAAGGCAGGAGAGGGAAGCGGAAUUCCCGGUGUAGUGGUGAAAUGCGCAGAUAUCAGGAGGAACACCGGUGGCGAAGGCGGUUCUCUGGGCAUUACCUGACGCUGAGGAGCGAAAGUGUGGGGAGCGAACAGG
RNAcentral lists this ribosomal RNA (253 nucleotides) under uncultured bacterium. RNAcentral's name for it is "partial 16S ribosomal RNA". It matches the Rfam family "Bacterial small subunit ribosomal RNA", at positions 524 to 776 of the family's 1533-position model. The record is from RNAcentral.